AUUGAACGCUGGCGGCAGGCCUAACACAUGCAAGUCGGACGGUAGCACAGAGAGCUUGCUCUCGGGUGACGAGUGGCGGACGGGUGAGUAAUGUCUGGGGAUCUGCCCGAUAGAGGGGGAUAACCACUGGAAACGGUGGCUAAUACCGCAUAACGUCGCACGACCAACGAGGGGGACCUUCGGGCCUCUCACUAUCGGAUGAACCAAGAUGGGAUUAGCUAGUAGGCGGGGUAACGGCCCACCUAGGCGACGAUCCCUAGCUGGUCUGAGAGGAUGACCAGCCACACUGGAACUGAGACACGGUCCAGACUCCUACGGGAGGCAGCAGUGGGGAAUAUUGCACAAUGGGCGCAAGCCUGAUGCAGCCAUGCCGCGUGUAUGAAGAAGGCCUUCGGGUUGUAAAGUACUUUCAGCGGGGAGGAAGGCGAUGUGGUUAAUAACCGCAUUGAUUGACGUUACCCGCAGAAGAAGCACCGGCUAACUCCGUGCCAGCAGCCGCGGUAA
This 504-nucleotide ribosomal RNA is filed under the name uncultured bacterium. Its description in RNAcentral is "partial 16S ribosomal RNA". It matches the Rfam family "Bacterial small subunit ribosomal RNA", at positions 29 to 523 of the family's 1533-position model. The record is from RNAcentral.